GUACUAUUGCGGCCGCCCUCUGCUGCGCCUGAAGAGAGAGGCGACUCUACAAGCCUCACAGCAUGCACUGUUACUAAAAAGACGAUGCGUCCUCCUGGACCUGAGAUCUGUGUGAUCGUGGGAAAGCGACGAAAAACGAACAAAGGAACAGUAAAUGGAGUAACUUGGCUAGAAUAUGGCAGUAACUACAAGGCAUGUUCUGCUCUGGCACGAAGACAACCCACCUGAGGCACCAGACACAUGAGUGAAGCCAUCUUGGACAUCCCAGUCACAGCCAAACUCACUCCUGAGUGCAUCUGCAUGAUGAACCCAGCAAUCCCCACCAUGGAGCAAAGGAUCCAUCCAGUCAACCCAAAGAAUCGUGAAAAAUAAUAAAUUGUUGUUUUAAAGUUCUUCAGUUUGGGAAUAGCUUGUUAUGCAACAAUACAUAAUUAAUACACUGGUCUCCCACUUUCAAGUUUGAUU
This 465-nucleotide long non-coding RNA is filed under the name Homo sapiens (human). RNAcentral describes it as "non-protein coding lnc-EGLN1-1:12". The record is from RNAcentral. Lineage: Eukaryota; Metazoa; Chordata; Mammalia; Primates; Hominidae.